This 407-nucleotide ribosomal RNA is filed under the name uncultured bacterium. RNAcentral's name for it is "bacterial SSU rRNA". It matches the Rfam family "Bacterial small subunit ribosomal RNA", at positions 355 to 776 of the family's 1533-position model. RNAcentral also lists the same sequence under 2 other names. The record is from RNAcentral.
UGGGGGAUAUUGCGCAAUGGGGGAAACCCUGACGCAGCAACGCCGCGUGAAGGAUGAAGGUCUUCGGAUUGUAAACUUCUUUUAUUAAGGACGAAGAAAGUGACGGUACUUAAUGAAUAAGCUCCGGCUAACUACGUGCCAGCAGCCGCGGUAAUACGUAGGGAGCAAGCGUUGUCCGGAUUUACUGGGUGUAAAGGGUGCGUAGGCGGCUUUGCAAGUCAGAUGUGAAAUCUAUGGGCUCAACCCAUAGCCUGCAUUUGAAACUGCAGAGCUUGAGUGAAGUAGAGGCAGGCGGAAUUCCCCGUGUAGCGGUGAAAUGCGUAGAGAUGGGGAGGAACACCAGUGGCGAAGGCGGCCUGCUGGGCUUUAACUGACGCUGAGGCACGAAAGCGUGGGUAGCAAACAGG